RNAcentral lists this ribosomal RNA (253 nucleotides) under uncultured bacterium. Its description in RNAcentral is "partial 16S ribosomal RNA". It matches the Rfam family "Bacterial small subunit ribosomal RNA", at positions 524 to 776 of the family's 1533-position model. The record is from RNAcentral.
UACAGAGGGGGCAAGCGUUGUUCGGAAUUACUGGGCGUAAAGGGCGCGUAGGUGGCCUUCUAAGUCGAACGUGAAAUCCCUGGGCUCAACCCAGGAACUGCGUCCGAUACUGGAAGGCUUGAAUCCGGGAGAGGGAUGCGGAAUUCCAGGUGUAGCGGUGAAAUGCGUAGAUAUCUGGAGGAAUACCGGUGGCGAAGGCGGCAUCCUGGACCGGCAUUGACGCUGAGGAGCGAAAGCCAGGGGAGCAAACGGG